RNAcentral lists this ribosomal RNA (253 nucleotides) under uncultured bacterium. RNAcentral's name for it is "partial 16S ribosomal RNA". It matches the Rfam family "Bacterial small subunit ribosomal RNA", at positions 524 to 776 of the family's 1533-position model. The record is from RNAcentral.
UACGUAGGUGGCAAGCGUUGUCCGGAAUUACUGGGCGUAAAGCGUGCGCAGGCGGUUCGCAAAGACAGGUGUGAAAUCCCCGGGCUUAACCUGGGAACUGCGCUUGUAACUAGCGGGCUAGAGUGCGGCAGAGGGGGGUGGAAUUCCACGUGUAGCAGUGAAAUGCGUAGAUAUGUGGAGGAACACCGAUGGCGAAGGCAGCCCCCUGGGCUAGUACUGACGCUCAUGCACAAAAGCGUGGGGAGCAAACAGG